Molecule: ribosomal RNA, 497 nt
Filed under: uncultured bacterium
Lineage: Bacteria
Description: partial 16S ribosomal RNA
Rfam family: Bacterial small subunit ribosomal RNA
Source: RNAcentral
GAUGAACGCUGGCGGCGUGCCUAAUACAUGCAAGUCGAGCGAACGGACGAGAAGCUUGCUUCUCUGAUGUUAGCGGCGGACGGGUGAGUAACACGUGGAUAACCUACCUAUAAGACUGGGAUAACUUCGGGAAACCGGAGCUAAUACCGGAUGAUAUUUUGAACUGCAUGGUUCAAAAGUGAAAGACGGUCUUGCUGUCACUUAUAGAUGGAUCCGCGCUGCAUUAGCUAGUUGGUAAGGUAACGGCUUACCAAGGCAACGAUGCAUAGCCGACCUGAGAGGGUGAUCGGCCACACUGGAACUGAGACACGGUCCAGACUCCUACGGGAGGCAGCAGUAGGGAAUCUUCCGCAAUGGGCGAAAGCCUGACGGAGCAACGCCGCGUGAGUGAUGAAGGUCUUCGGAUCGUAAAACUCUGUUAUUAGGGAAGAACAUAUGUGCAAGUAACUGUGCACAUCUUGACGGUACCUAAUCAGAAAGCCACGGCUAACUACGUG